AUUGAACGCUGGCGGCAUGCCUUACACAUGCAAGUCGAACGGCAGCGCGUCCUUCGGGAUGGCGGCGAGUGGCGAACGGGUGAGUAAAGCAUCGGAACGUGCCCGGUAGUGCGGGAUAGCUCGGCGAAAGCCGGAUUAAUACCGCAUGAGAUCUGCGGAUGAAAGCAGGGGACCCGAAAGGGCCUUGCGCUACUGGAGCGGCCGAUGUCAGAUUAGGUAGUUGGUGAGGUAAAGGCUCACCAAGCCUGCGAUCUGUAGCCGGCCUGAGAGGGUGUACGGCCACACUGGAACUGAGACACGGUCCAGACUCCUACGGGAGGCAGCAGUGGGGAAUAUUGCGCAAUGGGGGAAACCCUGACGCAGCGACGCCGCGUGAGCGAAGAAGGCCUUGGGUGUAAAGCUCUGUUCUAAGGGACGAAGGACUUGGCUGUGAAUAAUGGUCAAGGGUGACGGUACCUUAGGAGAAGCCCCGGCUAACUACGUGCCAGCACGG
Molecule: ribosomal RNA, 493 nt
Filed under: uncultured bacterium
Lineage: Bacteria
Description: bacterial SSU rRNA
Rfam family: Bacterial small subunit ribosomal RNA
Source: RNAcentral